RNAcentral lists this non-coding RNA (21 nucleotides) under Caenorhabditis elegans. The record is from RNAcentral. Lineage: Eukaryota; Metazoa; Nematoda; Chromadorea; Rhabditida; Rhabditidae.
UUAAGUCUUUCCAAUCUCUGA